RNAcentral lists this ribosomal RNA (540 nucleotides) under Triticum aestivum (bread wheat). Its description in RNAcentral is "partial small subunit ribosomal RNA". The record is from RNAcentral. Lineage: Eukaryota; Viridiplantae; Streptophyta; Magnoliopsida; Poales; Poaceae.
AUGCAGUUCUCGCUUUCCAACAAGCGGACUGCCAAGGAGGCUUGGGACGCCAUCGCCGCAGCACGCAUCGGCAGCGACCGUGCUCGCAAGUCCACCCUGCAGGCACUUCGUAAGGAGUGGGAGAACCUGGGCUUCAAGCCAGGUGAGGACGUUGAUGACUUUGCUCUCCGUCUCAACACUCUGCUGCAGAAGAUGGUGAAGUUUGGCGAUGCCACCUACACCGAGGAGAGAGCUGUCGAGAAGCUUUUUCGGUGCAUUCCCGAGAAGUACAAGCAGAUGGCUCGCUCGAUCGAGUCGUUGCUGGACCUCUCCACGAUGACGAUCGAGGAGGCGAUAGGCCGUCUCAAGGUCGUCGACACCGACGAGCCACAGCCUCCCUCGGGGCCCAUCACCACCGGUGGGAAGUUGCUCCUAACUCGGGAGCAGUGGGAUCCCAGCCUUGGUGACAGGAAGAAGGGGGAGCCUUCUUCCACGACGGGCGGCCGCAAGCCCAAAAGCACACGCUCUUCUCGGCGAUGGCUCCGGGAAGGACAAGACUGA